ACGUAGGUGGCAAGCGUUGUCCGGAAUUAUUGGGCGUAAAGCGCGCGCAGGCGGUUUCUUAAGUCUGAUGUGAAAGCCCACGGCUCAACCGUGGAGGGUCAUUGGAAACUGGGAGACUUGAGUGCAGAAGAGAAGAGCGGAAUUCCACGUGUAGCGGUGAAAUGCGUAGAGAUGUGGAGGAACACCGAUGGCGAAGGCAGCCCCCUGGGUCGACACUGACGCUCAGGCACGAAAGCGUGGGGAGCAAACAGGA
Molecule: ribosomal RNA, 253 nt
Filed under: uncultured prokaryote
Description: partial 16S ribosomal RNA
Rfam family: Bacterial small subunit ribosomal RNA
Source: RNAcentral